Molecule: ribosomal RNA, 468 nt
Filed under: uncultured bacterium
Lineage: Bacteria
Description: partial 16S ribosomal RNA
Rfam family: Bacterial small subunit ribosomal RNA
Source: RNAcentral
GACGAACGCUGGCGGCGUGCUUAACACAUGCAAGUCGAACGGAAAGGCCCUGCUUUUGUGGGGUGCUCGAGUGGCGAACGGGUGAGUAACACGUGAGUAACCUGCCCUUGACUUUGGGAUAACUUCAGGAAACUGGGGCUAAUACCGGAUAGGAGCUCCUGCUGCAUGGUGGGGGUUGGACAGUUUAGGCGGUUGGGGAUGGACUCGCGGCUUAUCAGCUUGUUGGUGGGGUAGUGGCUUACCAAGGCUUUGACGGGUAGCCGGCCUGAGAGGGUGACCAGCGACAUUGGGACUGAGAUACGGCGCAGACUCCUACGGGAGGCAGCAGUGGGGAGUAUUGCACAAUGGGCGGAAGCGUGAUGCAGCAACGCCGCGUGUGGGAUGACGGCCUUCGGGUUGUAAACCGCUUUCGCCUGUUACGAAGCGGGAGUGACGGUAAUGGGUAAAGAAGCACCGGCUAACUACGUG